Molecule: ribosomal RNA, 381 nt
Filed under: uncultured archaeon
Lineage: Archaea
Description: bacterial SSU rRNA
Rfam family: Archaeal small subunit ribosomal RNA
Source: RNAcentral
AUACGUAGGGGGCGAGCGUUGUCCGGAAUUAUUGGGUCUAAAGGGUCCGUAGCCGGUUUGGUCAGUCCUCCGGGAAAUCUGACGGCUCAACCGUUAGGCUUUCGGUGGAUACUGCCAGACUUGGAACCGGGAGAGGUAAGAGGUACUACAGGGGUAGGAGUGAAAUCUUGUAAUCCCUGUGAGACCACCUGUGGCGAAGGCGUCUUACCAGAACGGGUUCGACGGUGAGGGACGAAAGCUGGGGGCACGAACCGGAUUAGAUACCCGGGUAGUCCCAGCCGUAAACGAUGCUCGCUAGGUGUCAGGCAUGGCGCGACCGUGUCUGGUGCCGCAGGGAAGCCGUGAAGCGAGCCACCUGGGAAGUACGGCCGCAAGGCUGAA